This 430-nucleotide ribosomal RNA is filed under the name uncultured bacterium. RNAcentral's name for it is "partial 16S ribosomal RNA". It matches the Rfam family "Bacterial small subunit ribosomal RNA", at positions 29 to 507 of the family's 1533-position model. The record is from RNAcentral.
AACGAACGCUGGCGGCAGGCUUAACACAUGCAAGUCGAGCGCCCCGCAAGGGGAGCGGCAGACGGGUGAGUAACGCGUGGGAACGUACCUUUUGGUUCGGAACAACUCCGGGAAACUGGAGCUAAUACCGGAUAGCCCUAACGGGGAAAGAUUUAUCGCCGAAAGAUCGGCCCGCGUCUGAUUAGCUAGUUGGUGAGGUAACGGCUCACCAAGGCGACGAUCAGUAGCUGGUCUGAGAGGAUGAUCAGCCACACUGGGACUGAGACACGGCCCAGACUCCUACGGGAGGCAGCAGUGGGGAAUAUUGGACAAUGGGCGCAAGCCUGAUCCAGCCAUGCCGCGUGAGUGAUGAAGGCCUUAGGGUUGUAAAGCUCUUUUGUCCGGGAAGAUAAUGACUGUACCGGAAGAAUAAGCCCCGGCUAACUUCGUG